GAAGCAAAAAUGAUAAAGCAGAAUGUUCAAGGCACUAAGAGUCAGAUCUCCCAGCUCUUCUCCAAUUUUGCCUGUGACUAGUCAUCUGUCUUUGGGGCAUCUAACAUUCAUUAUCAAAGGAAAGUUGUGAUGGACUGUCAUUUCCCCAGAGAUCAUUUUUCUGGUUGAGGAUGAGGCAUGAAGUACCAGUGAAGAACUGUCGAAUUCUCCUUUGUGAGAUCAAUACAAGAAAAAGGAGUGUAUUCAGUUCUUACCAAAAACGCACGCGCGCACGCACACACACGAGAAAACAAACAACAACAAAAAACAGAACAAAACAACAGCAGCAACAAAAGAUAUGUCUUGGGUAUUUUAGAUGUGAAGCAUUCCCACGUCUACUUGAGAAGCAACUUCCCAAUUACUAAUAAAACUUGCAGGGAUAUUGAUUGGGAUUUUGAGGAAUUUAUGUAUCUUCUUUACAAUAUUGAAUUCUUCAAUUCAUAAUCAUGUUACAAACUUCCAUUUACUGAAGACAUCUUCACAUUUUCUCAAUAGUGACAGAGCUUCCAGUG
Molecule: long non-coding RNA, 551 nt
Organism: Homo sapiens (human)
Lineage: Eukaryota; Metazoa; Chordata; Mammalia; Primates; Hominidae
Exons: 5
Source: RefSeq, a predicted model, not a curated record